This 440-nucleotide ribosomal RNA is filed under the name uncultured bacterium. RNAcentral describes it as "SSU rRNA". It matches the Rfam family "Bacterial small subunit ribosomal RNA", at positions 26 to 518 of the family's 1533-position model. The record is from RNAcentral.
AGAAUGAACGCUAGCGAUAGGCCUAACACAUGCAAGUUGAACGCUUAUUUAAAUACAAAUAAGAGUGGCAAACGGGUGAGUAACACGUGAGAAUCUACCUUAUAGUUCGGCAUAAGAUUUAUUUUAUCUAAUUCCGUAUAUGAAAAGGUAAAAACCGCUAUAAGACGAGCUCGCGGAGGAUUAGGUAGUUGGCGGGGUAAUGGCCCACCAAGACGAUGAUCUGUAUCCGGCCUGAGAGGGCGCACGGACACACUGGAACUGAAACACGGUCCAGACUCCUACGGGAGGCAGCAGUGGGGAAUUUUGCGCAAUGGGGGAAACCCUGACGCAGCAACGCCGCGUGGAGGAUGAAGCCCCUUGGGGUGUAAACUCCUUUCGAUCGGGAAGAUAAUGACGGUACCGAUAUAAGAAGCCCCGGCUAACUUCGUGCCAGCAGCCGC